GUCGACCGACACAGUGUCAGACGGGUGAGUAACGCGUGGGAACGUGCCCUUCAGUACGGAAUAGCUUCUGGAAACGGAAGGUAAUACCGUAUACGCCCUCCGGGGGAAAGAUUUAUCGCUGAAGGAUCGGCCCGCGUUAGAUUAGCUUGUUGGUGAGGUAAUGGCUCACCAAGGCGACGAUCUAUAGCUGGUCUGAGAGGAUGAUCAGCCACACUGGGACUGAGACACGGCCCAGACUCCUACGGGAGGCAGCAGUGGGGAAUCUUGCACAAUGGGCGAAAGCCUGAUGCAGCCAUGCCGCGUGAAUGAUGAAGGCCCUAGGGUUGUAAAAUUCUUUCAUCAGGGACGAUAAUGACGGUACCUGAAGAAGAAGCCCCGGCUAACUUCGUGCCAGCAGCCGCGGUAAUACGAAGGGGGCUACCGUUGUUCGGAAUUACUGGGCGUAAAGCGCGCGUAGGCGGACUAUUAAGCCAGAUGUGAAAUCCCGGGGAUCAACCUCGGAACUGCAUUUGGGACUG
Molecule: ribosomal RNA, 518 nt
Filed under: uncultured organism
Description: bacterial SSU rRNA
Rfam family: Bacterial small subunit ribosomal RNA
Source: RNAcentral